RNAcentral lists this long non-coding RNA (536 nucleotides) under Elaeis guineensis (African oil palm). Its description in RNAcentral is "long non-coding RNA (EGUI_LNC035911)". The record is from RNAcentral. Lineage: Eukaryota; Viridiplantae; Streptophyta; Magnoliopsida; Arecales; Arecaceae.
CAUUCUGUAUGCCUAUCUGGUAGUCCUUUACCUCUAUCUUCUAUAGUCUGUCUAUUAUCUAUUUAGGUAUUAUCUGUAGGCUUGAUUUCCUUUACUCAUCAAUCAUUAAUCAUUUUACUUUUGUACUCUUGGGUUUCGAGCUAUUUGUUAUACAGUCCAUGCAGACAGUAUCGUAUACCUCAUAGCUUAUCUAUCCAUUUACUGCUUCUAUGUGUACACACGUAGUCUACCUAUUUGCUGCUCCUAUGUAUAUGCACAUAGCCUUUACUGCUAGAUCACACUGUUGUGACAAUUUACUGCUGAGCAUUGUGAUACUUCCGCCUCGUGGUCAUCGGGGUUCCUGAUCUGAAUCAAGGGAGUCCAUUAGCACUUGCAAAAUAUCAUACAUCUCUGGCUGUGGCUCCGACCCACUCACACACAAUACUGCUGCUUCCAUGCAUAUGCACGUUGGCCUAGGUCAAUUUUGGUAUCAGAGCCAAGUCAUUUCAGGGAGGGGAUCUGUCGAUUUUUAGCGGUGUAGAGUGGAUCGGAUAGAU